RNAcentral lists this transfer RNA (75 nucleotides) under Tsukamurella tyrosinosolvens. RNAcentral's name for it is "tRNA_Gln_CTG". It matches the Rfam family "tRNA". From Rfam's summary of the family: Transfer RNA (tRNA) molecules are approximately 80 nucleotides in length. Lineage: Bacteria; Bacillati; Actinomycetota; Actinomycetes; Mycobacteriales; Tsukamurellaceae. The record is from RNAcentral.
UGCCUCGUGGUGUAAUUGGCAACACCCCUGAUUCUGGUUCAGGAAUUCUAGGUUCGAGUCCUGGCGAGGCAGCCA